RNAcentral lists this ribosomal RNA (837 nucleotides) under Tridentiger barbatus (Shokihaze gobi). RNAcentral describes it as "partial 12S ribosomal RNA". It matches the Rfam family "Bacterial small subunit ribosomal RNA", at positions 266 to 1509 of the family's 1533-position model. Lineage: Eukaryota; Metazoa; Chordata; Actinopteri; Gobiiformes; Gobiidae. The record is from RNAcentral.
AAAUAAAGGAGCAGGCAUUAGGCACAACCUUGGUUAGCCCACAAUGCCUUGUUUAGCCACACCCCCAAGGGAACCCAGCAGUAAUCAACAUUAAGCAAUAAGUGCAAACUUGACUUAGUUACACACCAAGAGGGCCGGUAAAACUCGUGCCAGCCACCGCGGUUAUACGAGAGGCUCAAGUUGACAAACACCGGCAAAAAACGUGGCCUAUAAAGUAUUACACUAAAGCUAAACUUCUUCAAGGCUGUUAUACGCAUUCGAAGAAAAGAGAAUCUUCCACGAAAGUGGCUUUAAAUAAUAUCACCCACGAAAGCUAGGAAACAAACUGGGAUUAGAUACCCCACUAUGCCUAGCCCUAAACACAAGUGAAUGUCCUCACCUUUGCUUGCCAGGGUAUUACGAGCUCCAGCUUAAAAUUCAAGGGACUUGGCGGUGCUUUAGAUCCACCUAGAGGAGCCUGUUCUGUAACCGAUAACCCCCGCUUAACCUCACCCUCUUUUGUCACUCCCGCCUAUAUACCGCCGUCGUCAGCUUACCCCACAAGGGAUCAAUAGUGAGCUUAACUGGCACAGCCCAGAACGCCAGGUCCAGGUGUAGCGUAUGAGAGGGGAAGAAAUGGGCUACAUUCACUGUACCAGUGAAAACGAAUAAUACUUUGAAACAAGUACUUAAAGGAGGAUUUAGCAGUAAGAAAGGAGCAGAGUGCCAUUCUGAAACUGGCCCUGAAGCGCGCACAUACCGCCCGUCACUCUCUCCAGUUGGAUGGUGUCUAAUUUAAGAUAAACACAAAACUUUAAACAAAGGAGAGGAAAGUCGUAACAUGGUAAGUGUACCGGA